RNAcentral lists this transfer RNA (66 nucleotides) under Anastatus shichengensis. Its description in RNAcentral is "tRNA-His". The record is from RNAcentral. Lineage: Eukaryota; Metazoa; Arthropoda; Insecta; Hymenoptera; Eupelmidae.
AUUUAAAUAGUUUAAUUAAAAUUUUGAUUUGUGGGAUCAUAGAUAAUUUUCAAUAAUUUUUAAAUU